RNAcentral lists this ribosomal RNA (301 nucleotides) under uncultured bacterium. RNAcentral describes it as "partial 16S ribosomal RNA". It matches the Rfam family "Bacterial small subunit ribosomal RNA", at positions 509 to 807 of the family's 1533-position model. The record is from RNAcentral.
CAGCCGCCGCGGUAAUACGAAGGGUGCAAGCGUUACUCGGAAUUACUGGGCGUAAAGCGUGCGUAGGUGGUGGUUUAAGUCCGUUGUGAAAGCCCUGGGCUCAACCUGGGAAUUGCAGUGGAUACUGGAUCACUAGAGUGUGGUAGAGGAUAGUGGAAUUUCCGGUGUAGCAGUGAAAUGCGUAGAGAUCGGAAGGAACAUCUGUGGCGAAGGCGACUAUCUGGGCCAACACUGACACUGAGGCACGAAAGCGUGGGGAGCAAACAGGAUUAGAUACCCGGGUAGUCCCUGUCUCUUAUAC